Molecule: ribosomal RNA, 436 nt
Filed under: uncultured bacterium
Lineage: Bacteria
Description: bacterial SSU rRNA
Rfam family: Bacterial small subunit ribosomal RNA
Source: RNAcentral
UAACGCGAAGAACCUUACCAGGUCUUGACAUCCCGUUGACCACUGUAGAGAUAUAGUUUCCCCUUCGGGGGCAACGGUGACAGGUGGUGCAUGGUUGUCGUCAGCUCGUGUCGUGAGAUGUUGGGUUAAGUCCCGCAACGAGCGCAACCCUUGAUCUUAGUUGCCAUCAUUUAGUUGGGCACUCUAAGGUGACUGCCGGUGACAAACCGGAGGAAGGUGGGGAUGACGUCAAAUCAUCAUGCCCCUUAUGACCUGGGCUACACACGUGCUACAAUGGACGAUACAAACGGUCGCCAACUCGCGAGAGGGAGCUAAUCCGAUAAAGUCGUUCUCAGUUCGGAUUGUAGGCUGCAACUCGCCUACAUGAAGCCGGAAUCGCUAGUAAUCGCGGAUCAGCAUGCCGCGGUGAAUACGUUCCCGGGUCUUGUACACACCG